Molecule: transfer RNA, 73 nt
Filed under: Myotis davidii
Lineage: Eukaryota; Metazoa; Chordata; Mammalia; Chiroptera; Vespertilionidae
Rfam family: tRNA
About the family: Transfer RNA (tRNA) molecules are approximately 80 nucleotides in length.
Source: Rfam by way of RNAcentral
ACUGGUGUGGCUCAGUGGAUAGAGCGUCGGCCUGUGGACUGAAGGAUCCCAGGUUCAAUUCCGGGCAAGAGCG